GGGACACCCUUCUGGGGCAAGACUUGCUUCAGUGGGGCUUUGGUGCUCACUGAGUCUGCCCCCUGAGUGUGUCCCU
RNAcentral lists this microRNA precursor (76 nucleotides) under Myotis myotis. Its description in RNAcentral is "mir-9229 microRNA precursor family". It matches the Rfam family "mir-9229 microRNA precursor family". RNAcentral also lists the same sequence under 2 other names. The record is from Rfam by way of RNAcentral. Lineage: Eukaryota; Metazoa; Chordata; Mammalia; Chiroptera; Vespertilionidae.